UAGCACAAAGUAUUAAAGGUAACGCCUGCCCAGUGAUACUUAAACGGCCGCGGGAUCCUCACCGUGCAAAGGUAGCAUAAUCACUUGUCACCUAAAUAGUGACUGGUAUGAACGGCCUUAUGAAGAUUUUACUGUCUCUUGAAACCAGCCCAUGAAACUAUUCUCUCAGUACAAAAACUGAAAUAUUGACAUAAGACGAAAAGACCCUGUGGAACUUAAAGCACCCCCCAUACAUUAUGACUACCUGCUUUUAGUUGGGGCAACUUUGGAAUUAAACAAAACUUCCAACAAUAACAAUAGACCCACAAGUCCACACACCAUUAUUCGACCCAGUAUAACUGAACAAAGAACCAAGCUACCCCAGGGAUAACAGCGCCAUCCCCUCUUAGAGCCCAAAUCGAAGAGGGGGUUUACGACCUCGAUGUUGGAUCAGGGCCCCCAAACAGUGCAACAGCUGUUAAAGGUUUGUUUGUUCAACAACUAACGCCCUACGCGAUCUGAGUUAAGACCGGAGCAAUCC
Molecule: ribosomal RNA, 520 nt
Filed under: Neusticurus surinamensis
Lineage: Eukaryota; Metazoa; Chordata; Lepidosauria; Squamata; Gymnophthalmidae
Description: partial 16S large subunit ribosomal RNA
Rfam family: Bacterial large subunit ribosomal RNA
Source: RNAcentral